GCACCGGCUAACUCCGUGCCAGCAGCCGCGGUAAUACGGAGGGUGCGAGCGUUAAUCGGAAUUACUGGGCGUAAAGGGUGCGUAGGUGGUUAGUUAAGUUAUCUGUGAAAUCCCUGGGCUCAACCUGGGCAGGUCAGAUAAGACUGGUUAACUCGAGUAUGGGAGAGGGUAGUGGAAUUUCCGGUGUAGCGGUGAAAUGCGUAGAGAUCGGAAGGAACACCAGUGGCGAAGGCGGCUACCUGGCCCAAUACUGACACUGAGGCACGAAAGCGUGGGGAGCAAACAGGAUUAGAUACCCUGGUAGUCCACGCCGUAAACGAUGUCAACUAGCUGUUGGAUAUAUGAAUAUAUUUAGUGGCGAAGCAAACGCGAUAAGUUGACA
RNAcentral lists this ribosomal RNA (382 nucleotides) under uncultured bacterium. RNAcentral's name for it is "bacterial SSU rRNA". It matches the Rfam family "Bacterial small subunit ribosomal RNA", at positions 490 to 870 of the family's 1533-position model. The record is from RNAcentral.